UGCACCUACGGGAGGCAGCAGUGGGGAAUAUUGCACAAUGGGGGAAACCCUGAUGCAGCGACGCCGCGUGAGCGAUGAAGUAUUUCGGCAUGUAAAGCUCUAUCAGCAGGGAAGAAAAUGACGGUACCUGACUAAGAAGCCCCGGCUAACUACGUGCCAGCAGCCGCGGUAAUAUGUAGGGGGCAAGCGUUAUCCGGAUUUACUGGGCGGAAAGGGAGCGCAGACGGCUGAGCAAGCCAGAUGUGAAAGCACGGGGCUGA
This 260-nucleotide ribosomal RNA is filed under the name uncultured bacterium. RNAcentral describes it as "partial 16S ribosomal RNA". It matches the Rfam family "Bacterial small subunit ribosomal RNA", at positions 334 to 611 of the family's 1533-position model. The record is from RNAcentral.